RNAcentral lists this ribosomal RNA (210 nucleotides) under uncultured Pelobacter sp. RNAcentral describes it as "partial 16S ribosomal RNA". It matches the Rfam family "Bacterial small subunit ribosomal RNA", at positions 1173 to 1382 of the family's 1533-position model. The record is from RNAcentral. Lineage: Bacteria; Pseudomonadati; Thermodesulfobacteriota; Desulfuromonadia; Desulfuromonadales; Desulfuromonadaceae.
AGGGGGAUGACGUCAAGUCCUCAUGGCCCUUAUGUCCAGGGCUACACACGUGCUACAAUGGCCGGUACAAAGGGCUGCAAUACCGCAAGGUGGAGCGAACCCCAAAAAGCCGGUCUCAGUUCGGAUUGGAGUCUGCAACUCGACUCCAUGAAGUUGGAAUCGCUAGUAAUCGCGGAUCAGCAUGCCGCGGUGAAUACGUUCCCGGGCCUU